CAGAGUUACUAAACUCCCAAACCCAUGUGAACUUACCUAUGUUGCCUCGGCGGUUACCUACCCUGUAGCUACCCUGUAGUUACCCGGUAGCGGCCGCCGGUGGACCUCCAAACUCUUGUUUUAAUAUGGUUAUUCUGAGUUAUUACUAUAAUAAGUUA
This 158-nucleotide unclassified non-coding RNA is filed under the name uncultured fungus. RNAcentral describes it as "sequence contains ITS1". The record is from RNAcentral. Lineage: Eukaryota; Fungi.